CCUACGGGAGACUGCAGUGAGGAAUAUUGGUCAAUGGACGAGAGUCUGAACCAGCCAAGUAGCGUGAAGGAUGACUGCCCUAUGGGUUGUAAACUUCUUUUAUAUGGGAAUAAAACGUUCCACGUGUGGGAUUUUGUAUGUACCAUAUGAAUAAGGAUCGGCUAACUCCGUGCCAGCAGCCGCGGUAAUACGGAGGAUCCGAGCGUUAUCCGGAUUUAUUGGGUUUAAAGGGAGCGUAGGUGGAUUGUUAAGUCAGUUGUGAAAGUUUGCGGCUCAACCGUAAAAUUGCAGUUGAAACUGGCAGUCUUGAGUACAGUAGAGGUAGGCGGAAUUCGUGGUGUAGCGGUGAAAUGCUUAGAUAUCACGAAGAACUCCGAUUGCGAAGGCAGUUCACUGGACUGCAACUGACACUGAGGCUCGAAAGUGUGGGUAUCAAACAGGAUUAGAUACCCUAGUAGUC
Molecule: ribosomal RNA, 460 nt
Filed under: uncultured bacterium
Lineage: Bacteria
Description: partial 16S ribosomal RNA
Rfam family: Bacterial small subunit ribosomal RNA
Source: RNAcentral